CCUAAGGGUGGCAGCAGUGGGGAAUAUUGGACAAUGGGGGAACCCUGAUUCCGCCAUGCCCCGGGUGUGAAAAAGGCCUUUUGGUUGUAAAGCACUUUAAGUGGGGAGGGGGCUAAUCUAGGUUAUACCUAGGGAUAUUGGACCUUAACCACAGAAUUAGCAACGGCUAACUCUUUGCCAGCAGCCGCGGGAAUACAGUGGGUGCGGGCGUUAAACGGUUUUACUGGGCGUAAAGCGUACGUAGGCGGCUUUUUAAGUCGGAUGUGAAAUCCAUGAGCUUAACUUAGGAAUUGCAUUCGAUACUGGGAAGCUAGAGUAUGAGAGAGGAUGGUAGAAUUCCAGGUGUAGCGGUGAAAUGCGUAGAGAUCUGGAGGAAUACCGAUGGCGAAGGCAGCCAUCUGACCUAAUACUGACGCUGAGGUACGAAAGCAUAGAGAGCAAACAGAAUUAGAUACCCGUGUAGUC
This 465-nucleotide ribosomal RNA is filed under the name uncultured Alkanindiges sp. Its description in RNAcentral is "bacterial SSU rRNA". It matches the Rfam family "Bacterial small subunit ribosomal RNA", at positions 338 to 795 of the family's 1533-position model. The record is from RNAcentral. Lineage: Bacteria; Pseudomonadati; Pseudomonadota; Gammaproteobacteria; Moraxellales; Moraxellaceae.